CUCCCUUCCCUGCCUAUUGGCAAAAAUCAAAUGCAGUAUCUUGCUUAUCAGUUGAAGCAUCUGAGUGUUCUCUGUCUGUGUACUGAGCACUAAAUGAAUGUUUGGAAUUAGGAGGUAGAUUGGGAGCUUGUCCUGUCCACUCCAUGCCUCAGCCUGGAACUGUAUUACUUCCAGGAAUGGUGCGUUCCUU
Molecule: small nuclear RNA, 190 nt
Organism: Equus caballus (horse)
Lineage: Eukaryota; Metazoa; Chordata; Mammalia; Perissodactyla; Equidae
Gene: U2
Rfam family: U2 spliceosomal RNA
About the family: U2 is a small nuclear RNA (snRNA) component of the spliceosome (involved in pre-mRNA splicing). Complementary binding between U2 snRNA (in an area lying towards the 5' end but 3' to hairpin I) and the branchpoint sequence (BPS) of the intron results the bulging out of an unpaired adenosine, on the BPS, which initiates a nucleophilic attack at the intronic 5' splice site, thus starting the first of two transesterification reactions that mediate splicing.
Source: Ensembl